UACCGGCGACGAGGAAAUCGAUGAUAUGGUUGACGAAUUUUCGGAGACACAGGACGUGACGCAGGAAGUCGGAGAAGAGGAGGGCGACAAUUACGUCGAAGUUUCCUACUCACACACACCAGUUUUACCGCAGUCGUCGGAAUAUUAGAGAUACUUCCCGAGCGAAAAAAUAUCCCCGGCUCACGAUCGUAUGAAGCAGCUAAAGUACAAAUUGGUGGUGGUGCUGUUCAGCCCUCAGACGCUCUCCCUUCGCCUUCACAAAGGGGAGAUCGUCAACUAGCGUCACCCCCGCGAUCCCGUCAGUCGACACCGGCAUCGUCGCCGUCGACACCACCGACACCUCGUCAGACUCAAAAUGAAGAUCAGGAGCAGGAGCAUCAGCAACAGGAGCAACGAUGU
Molecule: long non-coding RNA, 399 nt
Organism: Trachymyrmex cornetzi
Lineage: Eukaryota; Metazoa; Arthropoda; Insecta; Hymenoptera; Formicidae
Exons: 3
Source: RefSeq, a predicted model, not a curated record